Molecule: small RNA, 610 nt
Filed under: Carex x stenolepis
Lineage: Eukaryota; Viridiplantae; Streptophyta; Magnoliopsida; Poales; Cyperaceae
Description: eukaryotic LSU rRNA
Rfam family: 5.8S ribosomal RNA (bases 209-363)
Source: RNAcentral
CGACCGUCGAACACGUGACAGAAUGCUGCCGCGGAGGCGCUUGCCGCCUCCUCGGCCCCGCCGGCCUCCUCCCUCUCGCCCUUCCGGGCGCGUUGGUUGCUGGCCGGAAUACGGCGCGGGAUGACGCCAAGGAACACGGUAAAGCUGAGGCGCCGGCGAGCCGCUCGAGGUCUCCGUCGGUUGCCAAGGCCAACAGAAAAAAAAAUAUGACUCUCGGCAACGGAUAUCUYGGCUCUCGCAUCGAUGAAGAACGUAGCGAAAUGCGAUACGUGGUGUGAAUUGCAGAAUCCCGUGAACCAUCGAGUCUUUGAACGCAAGUUGCGCCCGAGGGACCCUCCCGAGGGCACGCCUGCCUCAUGGGCGUUAGAAGCCCAUCCACGCUCGGUUGCCUAACUAACGGCAGAGAUGCGGACAUUGGCCCUCCGAACCGCGAGGYGCGGUGGGCCUAAGUGUGCGGCCGUCGUACGUGGCCGGGAGCGGCGAGUGGUGGGCUACUGCGCACGUCGCCCCGAGCCCCGUACYGACGCAGGGCCUUGUACGACCCCCUAACGAGGAGCAAGCCGCUGCGGCUCCGGCUGCGCGGCGCCUUCGGACCGAUACCCCAGGUCAG